Dichomitus squalens LYAD-421 SS1 is the source of this 72-nucleotide transfer RNA. It matches the Rfam family "tRNA". From Rfam's summary of the family: Transfer RNA (tRNA) molecules are approximately 80 nucleotides in length. Their secondary structure includes four short double-helical elements and three loops (D, anti-codon, and T loops). Further hydrogen bonds mediate the characteristic L-shaped molecular structure. tRNAs have two regions of fundamental functional importance: the anti-codon, which is responsible for specific mRNA codon recognition, and the 3' end, to which the tRNAs corresponding amino acid is attached (by aminoacyl-tRNA synthetases). tRNAs cope with the degeneracy of the genetic code in two manners: having more than one tRNA (with a specific anti-codon) for a particular amino acid; and 'wobble' base-pairing, i.e. permitting non-standard base-pairing at the 3rd anti-codon position. Lineage: Eukaryota; Fungi; Basidiomycota; Agaricomycetes; Polyporales; Polyporaceae. The record is from Rfam.
GGGCUUAUAGCUCAGUGGUAGAGCAUACGAUUGCAGAUCGUGCGGUCCCGUGUUCGAACCACGGUGGGCCCU